Molecule: RNA transcript, 6837 nt
Organism: Synchiropus splendidus (mandarinfish)
Lineage: Eukaryota; Metazoa; Chordata; Actinopteri; Syngnathiformes; Callionymidae
Gene: inpp4b
Gene name: inositol polyphosphate-4-phosphatase type II B
Exons: 22
Source: RefSeq, a predicted model, not a curated record
GUCGUAGGGAUGCGGCACUAGCGAUGCAGUGAAAGAGAAAAGUGAGACUUGUCUCUGGUUAUAAUGCAUCGUGCAGUUUGGCCAGACUGACAGUCAAGAUUUAUUGAUGGAGCCGUGUAUCGCACAUCAGUUCUGUUCCGCUUUCUUUUUCAUUCCCACUCCCUCAUCUCUUCCCCUACCUUUCCCCCACCACCUCUCUCUCUCUCUCUCCUCUCCUCUCCCUCACUCUCCCCUUCCCUUCUUCCGUGCUUCAGGUCCCUUGCCGGUCCCUCUCUUCCGUAUUAAUUUGCAAAAGGCAUCUUUGACGCUGGCAGAGAGCACUCUGUGAGGCAGCGAGGAGCAGAUUGCUAUCAUUGUGACAGCUUUCACGCUUGGCGAGCGGCGUGCCAUCCAGGGAGCUGGACUGGAUUGUGGUGUUCCACAGAGGAGGUUGAGGAGCAGGGGGGAGGACGGGGGAGCCAGCUGGACAGAUGGAGGACAGCGCUCAGCACCUGGGAUACUGCAUGGUUGACAUGAAGCCGCGGAGCAACCACCCUGAAGGGCUGACUGCUACCAGUGUUUAUCCGGCACUCGAGGUUCCUCCAGUGGAGUUCAUCCUUGCGUGCAAAGACCUGGUGACUUUAGAGGAUGAGCGAAGCCCUGACGCUUUCGUCCAGGUGUCUGUCAUCGACCCGCGCUCGCAGCAACUCCUCUCUCACGUCUGCACCGAGACAGUGAAGACAAACAAGGACCCGGUGUUUCUGACGGGGGUGACCUUCCCAUCAGACCGUCGCCCCGCCCUCGAGGCUCUAGUCAAGCUAACUGUGUACGAUGCGAAGGACAAGAGUCAGGAGUCUGGCACGAUCCUGGGUUCUGCUACCUUUUCUGUUGGCGAGCUGCUCAAGGCUAAGGAUGAGAAAUUGACAUUGAGUUUAAGGUCACCCAAUGGUGUGUGCACUUCAGCUACAGUUGUGGUGAAUCGGCUGACCAUGGGGGAGAUGGAGGAGUUUGAUCAUAUCUCCGCUGAAGUUCCCUCACAGAAGUGCCCCUUGGUCUGCGAUCCUGUGUCCAGCCCCUGCAUUAACAGAGACAUUAACCUUCUGACUGGGCCCGUCUUCAAAAACCCAGUAUGCAAGGUGUACCGAUUCCAAACUGUGGACAGCAAGUGGAUGCUCGUGAGAGAACAAAUGGAUGAGUGCACUCUCUCCUUCAACGUCCCCAAACAGCUGCUGUCACUCUACAUUCAGGAGGACAUGAGCAGAGUGCAGGACCUGAAGGAGCUAGGAGAACUUUCCCCGCACUGGGAGAACUUGCGUACAGAGGUGAUGACAAGAUACGCCGGAAUCAUCAGCUCCUACCAAGAGACUCUGUCGGAGCUGGACAAGAUCACUGGGAAUUGUUUCAAGCCGAGUUGCUGCAAAGCCCAGAAGUCUCUGGAGUUCGUCCCCAUAAACCUGCACACCCAGCGGAUGAGGGUGACCUGCCCCAGGAAAGCAGAUGCGAUCUAUGACAUCGUGACAGUCGGUGCUCCUGCAGCCCACUUCCAGGGCUUCAAGGGAGGAGGCCUGCAGCGGCUGCUGGGGAGAUAUGAAAGCGAGAAACGAAGCUUCAGCACAGCCUACCAGUGUAUCUACUAUUCUCCGGAGCACACUGCCAAAGCUCAAGAGGUCCUCAGCAGCAUGAGCUACCUCCUGCCCAUUAUCACGGUGUCAGCGGAGCAGCUCCUCCAGGCGGCCCAGGAGCACUCCUCCUCUGGCCUGAAGGACGCUCUCAAGAACCUCUCUGACAACACGGAGCAGUUCGUCCACACCCUCAAAGAUGAACUGGUGAAGAGCGCCCUGCUGGCGCUUCACGCGGCCCGUCCCGGCUACGUUUCAAAGAAGCAGAACCCGGACAAGCAUCAAGAAGGCGAACAGGAAGUGGGCCAGGUCCACAGGCUCCCGGGACACACGGAGAGCCCGGUGUUGUGCAACAACAUUGAGGAGACGCACCACAUCCACGAUGGGUCGACGCCGCUGAAGCAAGGCUCCAUACCACAUCAGAAAGAGUACGACGAGGAGGAAUGGGACAGAGUUUGGGCCAACGUGGCUAAAUGUCUCAACUGCGUCAUUGCCAUGGUGGAUAAACUCAAGGAAGAGGUGGAGACGCAGAAGCCAGAGCUCGGUCCUGGGGAGCAACCAGCCGCCGUCAUCUCCUCACACAACCCAGGCGACUGGCGGGAGCAGCUGUGCCCCCUGGUGACGAGGCUAAAGGAGUGCGUGUGCGAGGUGUCGGAGAGAGCCAAGAAGGCCAUGACCUUUGUGCUCUUGCAGGACGCCGCCUGCAGCAUCCCACAGGGCGUCCUUUUAAAGCAGAGGCGAGACGUGGUCUUCAGCCAGGCGCUGACUGCCUUGGCCUGCGGGUUUGUGAUGAAGCUGUACGCCGGGAUGCAAGACAGCGGCUUCCUUCGGCAGCUCCACUUGGUCGGGGUCGUGGCCCAGUUCGAGAGCCUGCUCAGCACCUACAGUGAGGAGAUCGGCAUGUUGGAGGACAUGGAGGUGGGCAUCUCCGACCUUCAGAGAGUCACGUUUAAAGUCACGGAAGCAAAGACAGAUGACCUCAGUGACCUUGAGCCUGUUAUAUGCGGCAGAAGAGAUCACUUUAUCGUCGAAGUGCCAUUACCCAAAGUGGCGUUCCUGACCCUCCCAGAGGAAAUCAAAGAUGGCCGACCUCUGCGAGUGCUCCCGGUGCUGUUCAACGUGGGCAUCAACGAACAGCAGACCAUCGCAGAGAGGUUCGGAGACAUCUCCCUCCAGGAGAGAAUAAACCAGAAGAACUUUGAGAUGCUAGAACUUUAUUACAAAUCAUUAAGCGAAACGGUGCCGACGGAAUGUCUACCGUGUUUUCAGACUCAGACUGACACGAAGGAGUUACUUGAAUCUCUGGGCCAGAAUGUAGUCGCGAAGAAGAGGAAGAACGUGGAGAUACUGUGGAUCGCUGGAGCGAUCUGCAGGAGGUUGAAUGGCAUCAGAUUCACCAGCUGUAAAAGUGCCAAAGACCGAACGUCCAUGUCUGUCACCCUGGAGCAGUGCUCGCUGCUGCGGGACGAACACCAGCUCAACAAGGAUUUCUACAUCCGAGCUCUGGACUGUAUGAGGAGGUGAGUCCCCCGGCCACAGCAUGGUCCGCCUCACUUCAGAUCCACGCCUCUGCUCCCAGCUUCUCGGGCAUCAGUCCUGGAAUGUUUUCUCACAGUGGCACAGCCUAGACUGCUGGGUUGCUUUGAACUAUACGGUCUUUGGUUCCAGAAAGGGUGAUGGGUUAUCUGCAGACGGAAGCAACUUGCGUGUUUACACCUCACACUCACGGCUGCUUUCACUGACCGCAGUUCAUCACAUGAAGCAUCUGAGCUGAUCUUAUCGCCGUUGCUGGCGGAGUCAGCUGGGUUACAUAAUCCACAGUGAAGAGUCGAUCUCUAGCGCUACUACUAAACAUAUGAAGCAUCUGCCUUUUUAUUCAGUAAAAAUACAUGACAAAUAUUACCCACACUGUGUCAUAAAUUACUUUGUUUUUGCAAUUUAUAUAUAUAUAUAUAUAUAUAUAUAUAUAUAUACACACACAGUGGUACCUCGGUUUUCAAACAUCCUGGAAUUCGAACAAAUCGGAGUUUGAACAAAAAUUUCUAGAUUUUUUUUUGCUUCUGAUUUCGAACGAAAUGCCUCCAAAAAAAGCCAGAAAAAACAUAACGUGCACGGACCGAUCAGCUGACCCACGAGGCGCUUUGUUAUUGUAUAUAACGCAGCCUCUGUAUGCAGACGUGUCCCGUUAGCUCCAUUUACUGGCUGUUUUUUCUUCAUAUUGAGGUGUAAAACCUUUCCUGUCUCCACACUGGACCGUGGUAGAGUGUCACAGGGGAGGUGCUGGAGCGCUCACUCCAGGGUUUGAUGUCCUGUUGUGGGCUGGAGCUGGGACAGGGAUGAGGCGAGUCUGGGACAGAGCGUGACUUGGUUUAUGACUUUGUCACAGCCAAACUGCACAGAAGCGCACAUUCAGAGCUGGACACGCACCGGGCACCUCUUCCCUUCUGGAGAGACGUCACUCACUCGGCAACCCCUCCCACAUGCAGCGGCCACACACAUAGAGGAACAGCGCACCUGCAGCAGACCCUCUACAUUCACUCCUACAAAAGCCGAUUUUAAGGCUUGGAACGCAUUAUUGCUUUUUCCAUUCAUUGUAAUGGGAAAAAUCCAUUCAGAUUUCUAACAAAUCGCUUCUUGAACGGCCGUCUGGAACGGAUUGUGGUUGAGAACCCAGGUACCACUCUCUCUCUCUCUCUCUCUCUCUAUAUAUAUAUAUAUACAUAUAUAUAUACCUUUUUUCUAAUUUGUAUUUUUAAAAGAAAAGCCAUUCCGAUUUACAAACUUUUCACAUAUCGCAUUAGUUUUCGUCGCUGUGUUUUUGUAAACCUCCACGAUUGGUUCUGGUUUGACCCUUGAUCUCACUGGGCUGCUGCUCAGACACAUUGUUUAUCUGACUGUAGCCAGCUGACCCCGUCGAUGAUGAUGUAUUAUCCCUCCCCCACACCCCAAAAAAUAAUUCCGGUAAACAUCCAGCCUCUGAAUGCCGUUAUGAAAACAACCUUGUUGCCACUUGAGUCAACAGUUGAACUGAUGACCUGCUCACAAUUUGUCGCCAGUGAAUGUGCCAGUAUAAACAUAUCAUUCUGCAUUCCUUGAUGCUUCCAUCAGUCAUGCAUGUACAUGUCUGCUUGCCAGUCUGCUGACUAGUUGUGCUGUGUGUGACUUUUGCUCUUCUGUGAAGGGAAUGAAAGAUCAAAGUUAAAGGCUGAGAUCAGUCAGGGUCGUCUGAAGAGUGUCAGCUAUGGAGCAGGCUACUCACUAUCUUACCACCCUGGAGUUUGGGUGGACAAACUGGGGUGUGAUGUGGGCAGAUGAUCGCGAUAAGAUGAGGAGAGGGAGAGGUCGACUUGAUGUGGCAAGCCCAGCAGGAAAUAAAGGAUGCAUUUCCCAGAUGAAGACUGGGUGAGGUUUAUCUGACAGAUAAAUGUUCUUGCCCGGAAAACUCGACCGGCUCUGAGACUCUGGACAGUUUUCAUACGACUCUGGAGAGUGGGAAUAUGACGCGCGGCGUCCUGCUUGCUCACGAUCAUUACUCGAUUCACUACACUCAGUGACAUUUGAAACAAGAAAAGCACUCAGAAAGCGCCGACCUCCACCAAGCAGCUUCAGUCCAACACAGUCUUGCAAUGACACAGUAUCUUUUGAAGGAAAAGGAAUCCUUUAAAAAUCCAGACGGUGAUUCGAACCACUCCCAAAUUUGAAAAAUCAUCAUUUGUUCAUAUCACCUAUUUCCAGAAAAUUGCAUUCAAAUCCGCCUAGAGCUUUUCAAGUUGUUUGAAACACAGUCAAGGCCACGGUGUUGAAAACAAGACUCUCGGCGUUGAUCUGUCUGGAGCACGGAAGGGCUGAGAAGCCGACAGUCAAACUCUGUGUCAUGGAUCUGGGGUGGGGCCCGACACCCUGUCCAAGUCGAGAGUGCGGUCACUCGCUGUCCCUGCCAAUGCGGGGGGCCGGGGUUGGAAAUAACUUUGGAUGGGCCGAUAACAUUUGAGCAACUGUUUUCUUGGCACCCAAGACGAUGUUGCGAUUGUCCCUGAAAAUGUGCCAUCGCCUCCAGAAAGGCACAGCAGCAUGGACACGUCACCGUCCAGUCAUUUCAAACUACUUGGUUAAGAUGAUUGGUAGGUGCCUUUGUCCUUGUACAUUCCACAGGUGACAAGACGUUUCAUUUUUGAGUCGGAACAUUUCAUGAAUUGGUCAAUCCAUGAAGGAAUAUGGUGAGAAAAUGCCCUGCUUUGAACAAUGUUGUGUGUCUUCCGUCCAGUUGGGAGGUUUGGGCUGUCAGAUCUGGCAACCUUGGUGUGAGUGAGGUGAAGAGUUGAGAGAUUUAUCCCUCCUUUAUCACUCCUCCCACCAGCAUAAGCCUCCAUGAAACGCCACACUCCACCCAGGGAGGGCAGGAUCACUCUCCGCGUCUGGCUUCAGCUUCAGCUGGAAUGAUUGUCUGGCUGCCAACGCUCAGCGUCGCAAUCGAGCAGAGAGGGCUGUCGGUUUGUGGGGUCAAAAAAGUUCACCCCAACUUUAUAAGAAGGAGUUUCCUGUGAAAAAUGCAGCUGCAGCAGCCGAUAAGAGGAGCGACACAGAGGAAAUGUUUUGUUCUGCAGCAGCACCAAAUCCACUUUGUCAUCUCCAUGGACAACAAAAACAAAAAUAGGCCACACAUUUCCUGGAAACAAAUGGGCCUCCCAUCCAGGUAUUCACUCCUGGAAUUGUGUUCCGGCUAAGACGAAGUCUACAUUUAAUACGCCGCUGCUUUUUUGGAGCAGCCGGUGGAAACAUUGCGUACCAAGUGGAGGCUUUGCUUUCACUUUCAGUUUGAAGGCAGCUGUUUACUCGGACGGAAAUUCAUUCUAGUGGCGCGGCUUGGCAGGUCAUGUCGGCCUGAGCAAAACAGCCCUCGGGAGGAUGAGACUUGGUGGACAAAUAUCCGAACACAGGACGUUAGAAAAGAACCACAACCGUCUGUGGAGCUGCUCACAAAGCCUCGGUUGUUGGUUCUGCAGCUGAAGUGUUUUUGACUGAUGUUUGGGAGUUGCUGGAAUGUGCGCCGCAUUUCCAGUGGAACAGGUUGUGUGUUCUCAUUUGCAACUAGCAACCAGAGACGGAUGUCGGAUAGAGAACGUUGAAAAGAACAUUAGGUGCCGGAAGUACGCCUUCAACAUGUUGCAGCUGAUGGCGUUCCCCAAGUGCUACCGACCUCCCGAAGGGACGUACGGCAAAGUGGACUCGUGAGGGCUCG